UGAGCUUUGCAACCCUUCUAAUAGCUGUGAACAAUAAGCACACAAAGCAUGUCAGGACGCUAUCUGAAAGCAUGCAGAUGCCAAUGCUGCAAGCCAGUCCAUUAUCCAAUAUAAAAAUCAAGACAGGUUCUCAUAAAGCCUCCACUAAAUUGCCCAUAAGAGAAACAACAAAAAAUAAAAACAAACCACAAAACUAAUGAAUGGUAAAAACCCAAUCCUUAUUCUUUUUAUUUUUUUGUGUUCACUCAUUUCCAUCAUCCUUCCAAUACGUCAAUAAUAACCAAGAGGUAUGAGUUAUAGAAAUAGAUGCAUUAAGAAUAUUAAAGGGAAAUAUGUUAAAGGAAGCAGUAUUAAGUUACUCUAGCAGAUGUCAAUCUACAAAGGGUUAAGAUGGGAAAACAUACUCACCACACCAAAAAGACUAGAUGCAACAAAGUCUUUGCAAAUGAUAUCACAUCACAAAAGCCAAAAAUUUUCUAAAUUUAAACACUUACUCUUGAUGUUGGCUGAAUUCUGCG
This 518-nucleotide unclassified non-coding RNA is filed under the name Hevea brasiliensis (rubber tree). The record is from RNAcentral. Lineage: Eukaryota; Viridiplantae; Streptophyta; Magnoliopsida; Malpighiales; Euphorbiaceae.